CUGGCGGCAGGCCUACACAUGCAAGUCGAGCGGUAGAGAGGUGCUUGCACCUCUUGAGAGCGGCGGACGGGUGAGUAAUGCCUAGGAAUCUGCCUGGUAGUGGGGGAUAACGCUCGGAAACGGACGCUAAUACCGCAUACGUCCUACGGGAGAAAGCAGGGGACCUUCGGGCCUUGCGCUAUCAGAUGAGCCUAGGUCGGAUUAGCUAGUUGGUGAGGUAAUGGCUCACCAAGGCGACGAUCCGUAACUGGUCUGAGAGGAUGAUCAGUCACACUGGAACUGAGACACGGUCCAGACUCCUACGGGAGGCAGCAGUGGGGAAUAUUGGACAAUGGGCGAAAGCCUGAUCCAGCCAUGCCGCGUGUGUGAAGAAGGUCUUCGGAUUGUAAAGCACUUUAAGUUGGGAGGAAGGGCAUUAACCUAAUACGUUAGUGUUUUGACGUUACCGACAGAAUAAGCACCGGCUAACUCUGUGCCAGCAGCCGCGGUAAUACAGAGGGUGCAAGCGUUAAUCGGAAUUACUGGGCGUAAAGCGCGCGUAGGUGGUUCGUUAAGUUGGAUGUGAAAUCCCCGGGCUCAACCUGGGAACUGCAUUCAAAACUGUCGAGCUAGAGUAUGGUAGAGGGUGGUGGAAUUUCCUGUGUAGCGGUGAAAUGCGUAGAUAUAGGAAGGAACACCAGUGGCGAAGGCGACCACCCUGGACUGAUACUGACACUGAGGUGCGAAAGCGUGGGGAGCAAACAGGAUUAUAUACCCUGGUAGUCCACGCCUUAAAC
Molecule: ribosomal RNA, 776 nt
Filed under: Pseudomonas sp. EA_S_84
Lineage: Bacteria; Pseudomonadati; Pseudomonadota; Gammaproteobacteria; Pseudomonadales; Pseudomonadaceae
Description: bacterial SSU rRNA
Rfam family: Bacterial small subunit ribosomal RNA
Source: RNAcentral